This 464-nucleotide ribosomal RNA is filed under the name uncultured bacterium. RNAcentral's name for it is "bacterial SSU rRNA". It matches the Rfam family "Bacterial small subunit ribosomal RNA", at positions 917 to 1382 of the family's 1533-position model. The record is from RNAcentral.
GGACCCGCACAAGCGGUGGAGCAUGUGGUUUAAUUCGACGCAACGCGAAGAACCUUACCAAGGCUUGACAUCCCUUGACGAUCUAAGAGAUUAGAUUUUCUUUUCGGAGACAAGGAGACAGGUGGUGCACGGUUGUCGUCAGCUCGUGUCGUGAGAUGUUGGGUUAAGUCCCGCAACGAGCGCAACCCCUACAGUUAGUUGCCAUCAUUAAGUUGGGCACUCUAGCAGGACUGCCGCGGACAACGCGGAGGAAGGUGGGGAUGACGUCAAAUCAUCAUGCCCCUUAUGUCUUGGGCUACACACGUGCUACAAUGGACAGUACAGAGGGUUGCGAAGCCGCGAGGUGAAGCCAAUCCCAAAAAGCUGUUCUCAGUUCGGAUUGCAGGCUGCAACUCGCCUGCAUGAAGUCGGAAUCGCUAGUAAUCGCAGGUCAGCAUACUGCGGUGAAUACGUUCCCGGGUCUU